RNAcentral lists this long non-coding RNA (243 nucleotides) under Vicia faba (fava bean). Lineage: Eukaryota; Viridiplantae; Streptophyta; Magnoliopsida; Fabales; Fabaceae. The record is from RNAcentral.
AUGUGUUGUUUGAAACAUCGCAGGAAUGGCACGCAGAAAAGGAAAAAGAGGAAUUCGGCUUCGAGCAGAGGUUUCGCAGAGGAGGUGAAACUCUUUCUUUCCGCUUGUAGGUUAGGCGAGUUAGUCGAUAAGGAGAGGAAAUUUAAUGAGUUUCCCUUUUGUAAAAAGUAUUGGUUGAUUUCCCUUCUAAGGGAGAGAUUAAAAUGGAUUGAUCCUUCUUUGAGUCCCAUGUUGUUCGUUUAG